GGGGUUGUGGCUCAGCGGUAGAGCACUCAGCUAGCACCUGCCAGGCUUUGGGUUCAAUCCUCAGCACCACA
Molecule: transfer RNA, 71 nt
Filed under: Marmota monax (woodchuck)
Lineage: Eukaryota; Metazoa; Chordata; Mammalia; Rodentia; Sciuridae
Description: tRNA.Ala
Source: RNAcentral